UACGGAGGGGGCUAGCGUUGUUCGGAAUUACUGGGCGUAAAGCGCGCGUAGGCGGACCUGCAAGUCGGGGGUGAAAGCCCGAGGCUCAACCUCGGAACUGCCUUCGAUACUGCGGGUCUCGAGUCCGGGAGAGGUGAGUGGAAUUCCUAGUGUAGCGGUGAAAUGCGCAGAUAUCAGGAAGAACACCAAUGGCGAAAGCAGCUUUCUGGACGGUACUGACGCUGAGACGCGAAAGCGUGGGGAGCGAACAGG
RNAcentral lists this ribosomal RNA (252 nucleotides) under uncultured bacterium. Its description in RNAcentral is "partial 16S ribosomal RNA". It matches the Rfam family "Bacterial small subunit ribosomal RNA", at positions 524 to 776 of the family's 1533-position model. The record is from RNAcentral.